This 253-nucleotide ribosomal RNA is filed under the name uncultured bacterium. Its description in RNAcentral is "partial 16S ribosomal RNA". It matches the Rfam family "Bacterial small subunit ribosomal RNA", at positions 524 to 776 of the family's 1533-position model. The record is from RNAcentral.
UACGAAGGGGGCUAGCGUUGCUCGGAAUCACUGGGCGUAAAGCGCACGUAGGCGGAUUGUUAAGUCAGGGGGGAAAUCCUGGAGCUCAACUCCAGAACUGCCUUUGAUACUGGCGAUCUUGAGUCCGGGAGAGGUGAGUGGAACUGCGAGUGUAGAGGUGAAAUUCGUAGAUAUUCGCAAGAACACCAGUGGCGAAGGCGGCUCACUGGCCCGGUACUGACGCUGAGGUGCGAAAGCGUGGGGAGCGAACAGG